UCCCCUUUGUAGAGGUUGUAUAACAGGGAUCUAAUGCCUCUUCUAAAGAGAACCACUUUCCCCUUACUGGAGCCACCAAAGAACUUGGAUUCUAAUGAGAAGCUGUUCCAAAUUAGGUUCACUAAGGAGAUAUUCCGAGAUUAUGAGGAAUACCUGAAUAGGCUCAACCUCUAUCGUCAAAAGGUCUGGACUUGUGAGGUGUCUGGAAAGUCUAAUCUUACCUAUGAGGAGGCUUUGGUCUGUGAAAAACAAGCUGCAGUGAAGGCUCAACAGUUGCCAAAAGAGCUGAUAGCUCCUGUUCUCCGGAUGAUUCAACAAUACAGAACUCUUAGCUUUACUGAUCUUAUAGAGAAAGUAUACAGUAGCCUGCAAUUGGAUCCUUUUGAAGGGCUAGAAUUACAUGCUAUGAAAGAUGGUUCUGAGGCUGCUUACAAGGUCUUGAAGGUUAUAGGUUCUGGUAGCACCAAAUUGUGCGAGGUGGGUUGGCUUGGUCAAGACAAUGCAGUAGUCAACACUUCACUGGUUAAAGCUGAUGAUCUAAUUUGUAAGAAGGCACCUGCUAGCCGUAAUACACUGAAAUUUUUUAUUAGGGAAUUCUAUCAAAAGGUGUCAUGGAUAGUAAAUGCAGAUCUUGCAAAGAAAUAUGGGAUAGAUAUUGAGCCCCCAGAAGACAUUAUGGUAACCAUCCUUUCUCAUUUCCCUAUCCUUUCUCAUUUCCUUCCUCGACCCCGUUCCUCGACCCGGUCGACCCAGGAACUUUGUGACUAUGGUCACAGCUCCACAAAGCCCGCUGCCGAAGCUCCAUCUCCCUCCGCCGUCCUCGCGACCCGGCAACCUCUUGCGGCGGCCGCGCGCAGCCUGCUCGCCGCCCCUGCCACCGCCAGCUGCACCCACACGCCUCACCGCACGAAGGCCGCCACUGGCGCACGCGCCGCCACCUCCGCCGGCCUGCACGCGCUGCACCACGCCAACGCCCUGCCGGUGCCUCCGCUGGCCCGCACGCCCAGGCUUGACGCGCCGGCCGCCGCGCCUCAGCAGGCCCGCUCGCCUCUCCUCCUCCGCUGGCCCGCAUGCACCGCGCAAGCCACCGCGCCUCAACAGGCCCACGCGCCGCACAUGGGCGCCAGCACCGGCCGCCGCAAGCGCCCCCUGCGGGCCCCUGCCUGCGACACCGGCGCCGCACCUGCCGGGCCUGACAGCGGCGCCCCCGAAGUGGAAGCCGCGCCAACGGAUCUGCCCCCAGGGGUACCGGAUCCGGCUCCCGGGGCGCCGGAUCUGAGGCCCCGGCCGGCGCCGCCUGCCCGACUGUCGCCGCCGCACCACGCGUCUGCCGCCGUCCGCGCGUGUAGCCGCCGGAUCCGGCAGAAGCCGAGCCAGAUCCGUGGCCCUCGAGCUUGUCUGCCAUGGGAGAAGCCGAAUGGUGAAGGUUUGUACAAAGGGAGGAAACGAUUUGCAAAUGGAGAAGGUGCCAGCAAAAAGUUGAAGAAAGAUGAGAAGCUACUAGAGUUGCCAGUUAAAUAUCCAAUUGAUGAUCUUUCAGUAAAGCCUGCAAUAGAUGAUCCUGUUUUGUCAAAGAGACCUCCACUAUCUAGAGAUUUUAGAGUGCCUACAAAUUCUGUGGGAGACCUCCUUAUGAUCUGGGACUUCUGUUCGUCGUUUGGGAGGCUUCUAUGCUUGUCACCAUUUUCCCUCUCAGAUCUGGAGAAUGCAAUUUGCUACAAAGAAAGCAACCUUGUUCUUGUGGUGGAAAUACAUGCUGCACUUUUCCACUUGCUCAUUAAAGAUGAAGGUGAAUAUUUUACAUUUCUCCUGAACAAGAAAAAGAUACUAAAGGUGAUUUCUUCUUCAGUUUCUUAAUUCAGGUAACUUGUCACCUGGGCUGAGUAUCUAUGCAAUUUCUUGGAGAUGAUAAGAAAAGAAGAAUUCUCCAGUAAGGUGUCAACGAUAUGAAGGGGUCAUUAUGGUCUUCUUGACACUGGCCUAAAGCUUAAAAUUCUAAGGGAACUGGUAGAGGAAGCCAUUACAACUUCUGCUGUACGAGAGAAACUAAAUGAAUGGAUUGACCAGCAACAAGCACUUGCAGCUGCAAAAAGGGAGGACGCUAGAAAGAAUAGGGAAGAGCAGAAGCUUAACAUGGAAGGGGUGCCAGAAAAUGAAAGAAAUCACACCGAUACUAUACAAAAUGAUAAGGAGUGUUCUAGGAAUCAGCGUGGGGGGAAAGAGGAAAACGGCUUGAACAUUCUUUUGUCCGGCAAGACGGGAGAUGGGAAAAUGUUUCUGAGACGACACCUCGAAACUGAAAUGGAGCAACAAUCUGUACGAUCCAGUCAUCUUGGAAAAGAUAGAUUGCAUAAUAGGUAUUGGUUUUUUAGGCGUGAAGGGAGACUUUUUGUUGAAAGUGCAGAUUCCAAAGAUUGGGGUUACUACAGCACUAAGGAAGAGUUUGAUGCACUUCUUGGAUCAUUCAACAUCAAAGGCAUAAGGGAGAGAGCACUUAAGCGUCAGCUUGAGAAGUCCUACAAUAAGAUAAGUAAUGCUUUGGAAAAGAGAUCGAAGGACGUCGAGCAAAAAACAUUACUUGAAGAGGUUGACUUGCGGCGUUCCACUCGUGUACAUGCCCAACCAAAAGAGGAUGACCCUUCCAUGUCAUUCCUCAAGUAUAUCAACAAAUGGAAGCAAAAAUGAACAAAGAAGUUACUAGGGUUGUCCUUUCUUCAUGGUCUACUCUUUACUGGUCCAAUUUGAUUAACCUUGAUGCGCCAAAAUGAGUAUUCGCCAUUUGGGAGAUUUUGGAAGCUGAGCCAAAGGUUCUUGAUUUUGAGCUAUUUGUUCAACCUUUAAGCAGCUCUAAGUCAAAGCUGCCUGCUAAUUGGUAUCGUUCCUGUAAAUGUUACUAUUACUUAGUUUCGUUUUCUUCUUAGAGAUUCGUUUUCUUCUUAGAGAUGGUAAUAUAGAGCUGAAGAUACCAUUAGCAUGAUCUAUGCAUAUGGCCAAUCAGCUAAUAGAUUUAAUGCAAUUGGUAGUUGGGCGAGUUCCAUCUUAUUCACAUUCUA
Molecule: RNA transcript, 3053 nt
Organism: Panicum virgatum (switchgrass)
Lineage: Eukaryota; Viridiplantae; Streptophyta; Magnoliopsida; Poales; Poaceae
Gene name: DDT domain-containing protein DDB_G0282237-like
Exons: 9
Source: RefSeq, a predicted model, not a curated record